This 459-nucleotide ribosomal RNA is filed under the name uncultured bacterium. RNAcentral describes it as "partial 16S ribosomal RNA". It matches the Rfam family "Bacterial small subunit ribosomal RNA", at positions 338 to 795 of the family's 1533-position model. The record is from RNAcentral.
CCUACGGGAGGCUGCAGUGAGGAAUAUUGGUCAAUGGGCGCGAGCCUGAACCAGCCAAGUCGCGUGAGGGAAGACGGUCCUAUGGAUUGUAAACCUCUUUUGUCGGGGAGCAAAAGACGCCACGCGUGGCGUUCCGAGAGUACCCGAAGAAAAAGCAUCGGCUAACUCCGUGCCAGCAGCCGCGGUAAUACGGAGGAUGCGAGCGUUAUCCGGAUUUAUUGGGUUUAAAGGGUGCGUAGGCGGAAUAUCAAGUCAGCGGUAAAAAUUCGGGGCUCAACCCCGUCGUGCCGUUGAAACUGAUGUUCUUGAGUGGGCGAGAAGUAUGCGGAAUGCGUGGUGUAGCGGUGAAAUGCAUAGAUAUCACGCAGAACUCCGAUUGCGAAGGCAGCUUGCUGCAGCGGAACUGACGCUGAUGCUCGAAAGCGCGGGUAUCGAACAGGAUUAGAUACCCGAGUAGUC